Molecule: ribosomal RNA, 562 nt
Filed under: uncultured Sebacinales
Lineage: Eukaryota; Fungi; Basidiomycota; Agaricomycetes; Sebacinales
Description: eukaryotic LSU rRNA
Rfam family: Eukaryotic large subunit ribosomal RNA
Source: RNAcentral
UAGUAACGGCGAGUGAAGAGGGAAAAGCUCAAAUUUUGAAUCUGGUGUCUUUGACUCCCGAGUUGUAAUCUAGAGAAGUGUUUUCCGUGUCGGACCACGUAUAAGUUCCCUGGAACGGGGCGUCAUAGAGGGUGAGAAUCCCGUAUAUGCCGUGGACUACCGAUACUCUGUGAUACACUCUCAACGAGUCGAGUUGUUUGGGAAUGCAGCUCAAAAUGGGUGGUAAAUUCCAUCUAAAGCUAAAUAUUGGCGAGAGACCAAUAGCGAACAAGUACCGUGAGGGAAAGAUGAAAAGCACUUUGGAAAGAGAGUGAAACAGUACGUGAAAUUGUUGAAAGGGAAGCGUUUGAAGUCAGUCACAUUUGUUGGGAUUCAGCCUGGCUUCUGCCUGGUGUAUUUCCUAGCCGAUGGGUCAGCAUCAGUUUCGACCAAGGGAAAAAGACAUUUGGAAUGUGGCUGUCUUCGGGCAGUGUUAUAGCCUUGUGUUGUAUGCCUUGGUUGGGACUGAGGAAUGCAGCGCGCCUCAUGGCCGGGGGUCGCUCCUCUCGACACGCGCUUAGGA